GGCCAUUUCUCCAAAACUGCAAUGCUUUCUGUUGCACGGUUAAACAUAUAGGAUCACAGCAGACAGCACCCAGUGAGAUAAAGUGGCCUGGAUGACUUUAUUAGAUAAUACAAUUUGUAUUUAGCUCUUAUUUAGCUCAUUAUUAGUAAUGCAUGUGUUUAAUUAUGCAUUUUUUCAAUGGAGUUAUACUUAAAAACAGCUUGCAAAUGCUGCAGAUCUCUUGUCUGCAGCCUUUGCCGAGUCAUAGAUUGAAGGGUAAAAGUUACCAGGAGAGGUUAAAGGAUCUUAACUUGUACAGCCAGGGCCGGUGCAAAGAGUUUUGACUACACAGGCAAAGAUGCAUUUUAACAGCCCCCCGACACACCCCCCCUUAAAAAAAAUGCUUCUUUACCUGUGUGUCUUGUAACUCCCCUCUCCUCUUUAGUGUAUUUUAUCCCCCUUUACUAUGUCUAACACCCCCUUGGGUGUCUCUUACAACCCCCCUUGUGUAUCUGUUUCUUUCCCCAGCCCUGUUGUGUUUCUAUUUCCUCCCCCCAGGGGCUGAGAGGGGUGGACAGGGACACAUGGGUUGUAGUGGGGGGAUAGGAGUUGAGAGGGUGUGGACAGGAGCUG
Pelobates cultripes (western spadefoot toad) is the source of this 612-nucleotide non-coding RNA. The record is from the annotation of a GenBank genome assembly. NCBI's taxonomy places the organism in Eukaryota, Metazoa, Chordata, Amphibia, Anura, Pelobatidae.